GUGGGGAAUCUUGCGCAAUGGGCGAAAGCCUGACGCAGCCAUGCCGCGUGAAUGAUGAAGGUCUUAGGAUUGUAAAAUUCUUUCACCGGGGACGAUAAUGACGGUACCCGGAGAAGAAGCUCCGGCUAACUUCGUGCCAGCAGCCGCGGUAAUACGAAGGGGGCUAGCGUUGCUCGGAAUUACUGGGCGUAAAGGGCGCGUAGGCGGACAGCUUAGUCAGAGGUGAAAGCCCAGGGCUCAACCUUGGAAUUGCCUUUGAUACUGGCUGUCUUGAAUUUGGGAGAGGUGAGUGGAACUCCGAGUGUAGAGGUGAAAUUCGUAGAUAUUCGGAAGAACACCAGUGGCGAAGGCGACUCACUGGCCCAAUACUGACGCUGAGGCGCGAAAGCGUGGGGAGCAAACAGGAUUAGAUACCCCUGUAGUCC
RNAcentral lists this ribosomal RNA (425 nucleotides) under uncultured bacterium. RNAcentral describes it as "partial 16S ribosomal RNA". It matches the Rfam family "Bacterial small subunit ribosomal RNA", at positions 354 to 796 of the family's 1533-position model. The record is from RNAcentral.